Molecule: RNA transcript, 3841 nt
Organism: Sceloporus undulatus (fence lizard)
Lineage: Eukaryota; Metazoa; Chordata; Lepidosauria; Squamata; Phrynosomatidae
Gene: ATRAID
Gene name: all-trans retinoic acid induced differentiation factor
Exons: 3
Source: RefSeq, a predicted model, not a curated record
CCUGUUAGAAGGAGGUUACAAUCUAGUCGCGAAACCACUAGGGCAUGGACCAGAGUCCUGGCAGUAGAGAUUGAGAGGAAUGGAUGGAUCUUGGCAAUGUUGUAGAGAAAGAAUCUACAGGUCUUUUGGCCUUCACUCCCUACCUUGGCACUAAUUUGUUUGGAGAAUCCCUAGAACCAGUUCUUGUCGAGGGUAAAGACAAAAAGAAGGCCCUGCCUUCAGGUAAAAAAGAGAGAGGAUAGGAGACAGUUUAAGAACCGCUCCUCCUUCCCAACCUUUCUUCCCUUCCAACUCCAACUCCUUUUGAGCCAGAGAGUCCAGGUCUAACCAGCCGUGUUGGGGGGAUUCCAAGUUUUCCAAACAAAACAGAUCCUCUUUUCCCACCAAGGAUGCCGGAGGCCAGAAAUCAUUGCCGAAAACCCAACAAUGACGGGAUCCAUCCAGUAGGAGGCAGGCUUCAGGAAUUCAGCUAGGCUUGGGAAAGGUCCACUGCCAACAAGUGGGUCUUGGACACUGUUUGGCGAGGCUACAAGUUAGAGUUCCAUCGACUACCUCGCAAUAUGUUCAUACCUUCACCCAAGUCAAGUGAUCCCACCAAACAUCGCCUCCUGCUGGAAGCCAUUGAACGUCUUCUUGCGCCAUUCAGGCCAUCGAGCCAGUUCCAUCAGGCAAAAGGGGAAGAGGAUGCUAUUCAACCUUCUUCCUAGUCUCAAAGAAAAACGGGACUUGGAGAGCUGUUCUCAACCUGAGAGCUGUCAACCGGUUCAACCUCAAGAAAACGUUCAGAAUGGAGACACUCAAGUCCAUUCUAGACAGCUUCCAACCCAGAGACUUUCUGUCUUCACUGGAUCUACAAGAUGCUUAUCUUCACAUUUUUAUCCAUCCAUCUUCAUGGCGUUUUCUCCGUUUCAAAUAUGGCAAUCUCCACUUCCAAUACAGGUCGCUCCCAUUUGGUUUGGCGUCAGCCCCGAGGGUUUUCACCAAGGUCAUGGUGGCCUUGGUGGCCCACUUAAGAACAAGACGUCUCCAUGUUUACUCUUAUUUGGACGACUUGCUGAUCCGUGCUCCAUCCAGAGAUCAGUCAUUACAGGACACCUCCAAGGUCCUCACGGAGUUGGAGACCCAUGGAUUCCUGGUCAACCUACAAAAGACCACUGAUUCCCGAUCAAAAGAUCCAUCACCUGGGAGCCCUGAUAAGACACCCAAGCGGGCAUAGUGCAUCUCCCCCAAGACCGGACCAGGUCCAUCCAGAAGACUGUCCUCAAGGUCUUGGACUCACCGAGGGCCAGCCUCCAACUUCUGGCUCAUCUGUAAGGCCUCAUGAUAGCAGCCAUCGAGUGCCUGCCUUGGGCGAGGUUCCAUGCCAGACCCCUGCAAUGGCUUCUCCUACCUCACCAAUGAGCUAUCACACUCAGAAAGCCCAAAAAGAUCCUCCUCGACAACGAGGUGCGACAGUCGCUUUGCUGGUGGAACUCGGAGGCGAUCUCAAAGGGGAGGCCCUUUUGGAAGCCGCAGCAAUUCAAAUCACAGAUGCCAGCCUCAGGGGCUGGGGAGCUUUCUGCGGACCUCACAUAGCUCAGGGUAAGUGGAGCCCAACAGAACUAACACGCAGCAUCAAUUGGCUGGAGUUAAGAGCUAUCCAUCUGGCGCUUCAAGCCUUUCAUCACUUGAUCCGUCACAAGGUGGUCCUGAUAAGGACGGACAAAAUUACAGCAAAGGCCCAUGUCAACCGACAGGGCGGAACCAGAUCCAGGUCUCUGAUGAUGGAGGCUCAAUCUCUCCUGACUUGGGCCAAAGCCAACCUGCUAUGCCUAGACGCAGAACAUCUCCAAGGAAAGCUAAAUUCAAAAGCAGACUGGCUAAGUCGAACGGACAUAGAUCAGUCAGAAUGGAGCCUACACCCGGACGUGUUCAGCUACAUCACGACGGAGUGGGGACUCCUGAUAUUAGACCUGUUCGCCUUUCCAUCCAACACCAAAACUCUGAGGUUCUUCUCCAGGUUCCGGACGGAGGGAGCAGAACACAUAGACGCCCUCAAUUGCCACUGGCCAAAGUACCUUCUAUAUGCCUUUCCAGCGAUACCACUUCUUUCGAAGUUCCUCUCCAAGGUACGAGCGACCAGGUCAGAGGUCAUCCUGGUGGCCCCAGUGUGGCCCAGAGGUCCUUGGUUCUCAAGAGAUUCUGAAUCUAUCGACUCAGAGUUUUCCCUUGCCCAUCAGACAAGACCUACUGUCUCAAGGCCAGAUUCACCACCCUGAUCCAGCCUGGCUUCAGCUACACGCCUGGAAAUUGAGCGCCAGAUGCUAUCCAGCUAUGGAUACUUGCCAGAGGUGAUCAAGUCCAUCUUGGCCUCCCGUCGCCAGUCAACGAUCAAAAUCUACGAAUAUACAUUCAGGCCCUUCAAGAGGUGGUGUAAACUCAAGAAAAAAGAUUUCAUUCAGGUAUCAGUGCCUACACUCCUCCAGUUCCUUCAGGAUGGGAUAGAUCAGGGACUUCGCCCGAACACCGUUAAAAGACAGGUUGCGGCUAUAACUUCGGUUCUUCCCCACGAUGAGGCAGCCAAGAUCUCUCAUCAUCCUCACAUUCGCAGAAUGCUCAAGGGAGUGUCUAACAGGUCUCCACCAACCAAACAUCAUUUCCCGUCAUGGGAUCUUCACGAGGUCCUCAAGGCCCUAACUAUACAUCCUUUUGAACCACUGAGAGAGGUCCCUCUCAAGUUCCUCACUUGGAAGGCGCUGAUCCUCACAGCUCUCACAUCGGCUCGAUGUGUCUCGGAGAUCAGCGCCUUAUCUGUUUGUAAAGAAUUGUGCAUGAUCAGACCUGACUCAAUCCUACUUGGACCUGAUCCAACUUUCAUUCCCAAGGUAAACUUGGUGUUCCAUUCCUCUCAAGACAUCAUGCUGCCUUCUUUCUGCCCACGGCCUUCCAAAGACCUGGAAAAGAUUUGGCACACCCUUGACGUUCGUAGGGCCAUCAAGAUUUACCUCAAGAGGACUUCGGCAUUCAGAAAGUCGGAAGCUCUCUUCAUAUCUUUUCGGCUGAACUCCAAAGGAAAGAAGGUGUCAAUUUCCACUCUGGCGAGGUGGAUUAGACAAUGCAUCAUCGCAUGUUACUGAGCUCUCAACCUCGACCCACCACAAGGCAUCACUGCUCAUUCAACUAGGAGCGCGGCGACGUCAGCAGCCUUAACCACUAACGCCCCACUGGCCGAAAUUUGCAGAGCAGCCACUUGGAAGUCUCCAUCCACGUUUGUCAGACAUUAUAAACUGGAUCUUUUCCAAUCAGCAGAGUUGGUCUUUGGCCGGAGGGUAUUACAACAGAUUGUCUCCAGUUCGCCUUCCACGCCAGCCGGCCCUCCCAGGAAUUUGGUGGCUUUUCUCAAUCCCAGAGUCAGGAUGCUCGGCCCCUUCUCUGAUGGGAAAUGGAACGUUGGACUUACCUGAGAUACGUCCCUUUCCAUCAGAGAAGGUCCGAGCAUCCUCCCCACCCGGUGUUAUUACGCAUACUGGCGCGGGUGGGCGAGCCGAUCCUUCUUCGGUUGUUCAUGGCUAGUCAUCAACUGAGGGUUCUUGGGCGGCUCCGCCUAUGGAGGCGCGGCUAGGCCCCUGUUCUUUUGUCUUCUCUGCCUAUCAGGAGCUGAAGUGGGUGGAGCCACCCAGAGUCAGGAUGCUCAGACCUUCUCGGAUGGAGAGGGACGUAUCUCAGGGUUCUGCCUCUAAAGCUGGACUGCCCCGGGGGCAAGGAAGGAUGGAACAACACCUCCGUCCGGGGGAACAGCCGGGUCUGCCAAGGCCAGAGGAACCCCUGCGACGGCUCAGCUGGACUAGGCUGGCUGUGCCCA